This 332-nucleotide unclassified non-coding RNA is filed under the name soil metagenome. Its description in RNAcentral is "partial contains 5.8S ribosomal RNA, internal transcribed spacer 2, and large subunit ribosomal RNA". The stretch from base 1 to 120 matches the Rfam family "5.8S ribosomal RNA", at positions 35 to 154 of the family's 154-position model. The record is from RNAcentral.
GAUGAAGAACGCAGCAAAAUGCGAUAAGUAAUGUGAAUUGCAGAAUUCAGUGAAUCAUCGAAUCUUUGAACGCACAUUGCGCCCGCCAGUAUUCUGGCGGGCAUGCCUGUUCGAGCGUCAUUUCAACCCUCAAGCACAGCUUGGUGUUGGGACUCGCGUUAAUUCGCGUUCCCCAAAUUGAUUGGCGGUCACGUCGACCUUCCAUAGCGUAGUAGUAAAACCCUCGUUACUGGUAAUCGUCGCGGCCACGCCGUUAAACCCCAACUUCUGAAUGUUGACCUCGGAUCAGGUAGGAAUACCCGCUGAACUUAAGCAUAUCAAUAAGCGGAGGA